Molecule: long non-coding RNA, 913 nt
Filed under: Carica papaya (papaya)
Lineage: Eukaryota; Viridiplantae; Streptophyta; Magnoliopsida; Brassicales; Caricaceae
Description: long non-coding RNA (CPAP_LNC000667)
Source: RNAcentral
AGGAAUAUCACAAGAGAACAGUGAUCUAAAAUUAUAGUAUAGCCAUGUGUAAUAGUUACAAAAGGAAAGAUUAAGCUCCAGCUUUCAUUAGCAAGAACUCUAUCAAGUCGAGGCCUAUGAUUAGCGUCCCUCAAUCUGUGGUUGUCCAGGUAAAUGAAUUUUUUGUGGGAACCAAGGUCCAUUAAACUAGAAGCAUUUAUGAAGUGCAUAAGUUUGCUCUUGGAAGGUUCCUCUUUGGUAGAAGGUUUGUUCAUUUUAUAUGCAAGAAUUACCAAAUUGAAAUAACCUGUAAUCAACCACAACAAUUAAAUAGUGUUUCUCGAUUUUUCCAGCUCGUUCCAAAACGUCUGCUUUUUGGCAUCGUAAUUGUCGUUGUUGAGCAGCUUACAUAUGGUUCAGCUGCGUGCAAUUUUUUAGGUAGUGGAGCCAGCAAUAGCGAUGGUCUCUCCAGCAAGCCACGUUUAGUGUGAUCUGACCUAUUGGAAUUUUGCAUAAAAACAUUAUUAUGAUUGUUUUUUGAGAGAGGUGAUAGACCUCUACUGUAACAGCCCCGAAAAUUCAAAAUGAAAUGUAUAUUAAAAAUAUCAAACGCGGAAACGAAGUCAAAAAUUCGAUUAACAUCCCUUACACUAAAAUAAAAAAAAACGUGCGCGCCACGUCAGCAGACCCAGUCAGCAGUCCUGGCCAACCAGGACCUGCCACGUGGCAAAACCACGUCGACCGGGGACGGGCCACGUUGGCGAUCCGCGUGCGCGCGAUCGGACGGCCCAGAUCAAUCGCGCGCACGGACGACCCAGAUUUAAUCGCACGGACGGUCCAGAUUAAAUCAAAAUGGACGGCUGAGAUCAAAAGGCAAAAGGGUAUAAAUAAGACCCCCACACCAGACCCCAAACCCUAGCCGCCUGCCCUCGCC